UUGGCGGGUAGCAUGCAGCAGUGGCAAACGGUAACAGCUGCUGCGACAAUAGAGACUAACUACAAUAGUUGCAGCGAUUAUUUCAAGCACCAUCGUCGUCGUCGUCGUUGCAGUUGCAGUUGCAGUUGGAGUUCCGCAACGUGGCCAGAACGUUGCCGGGCAAUUAUUAUUUUGUAAGACGUUUUACAAUUUAAUGGUUUUCAUGAAUGGACUGGGAUCCGACCCUCUGUCAGCAAAGGAGGCAGAGGGCCCUCCGGUUCAAGUUGAACCAGUUGAUUUGAGUCUACGUUCGCCGCGCG
Molecule: long non-coding RNA, 299 nt
Organism: Drosophila hydei
Lineage: Eukaryota; Metazoa; Arthropoda; Insecta; Diptera; Drosophilidae
Exons: 3
Source: RefSeq, a predicted model, not a curated record